CAGAGAAUAGUUUAUUAAGAAUAUUAAUUUUGGGGAUUAAUGGGGAAUAAUUAUUUAUUUUUCUCUGA
This 68-nucleotide transfer RNA is filed under the name Ergaula capucina. RNAcentral describes it as "tRNA-Pro". The record is from RNAcentral. Lineage: Eukaryota; Metazoa; Arthropoda; Insecta; Blattodea; Corydiidae.